UACGAAGGGGGCUAGCGUUGUUCGGAAUCACUGGGCGUAAAGGGCGCGUAGGCGGCUUUAUAAGUCGGGGGUGAAAGCCUGUGGCUCAACCACAGAAUUGCCUUCGAUACUGUAGAGCUUGAGACCGGAAGAGGUAAGUGGAACUGCGAGUGUAGAGGUGAAAUUCGUAGAUAUUCGCAAGAACACCAGUGGCGAAGGCGGCUAACUGGUCCGGUUCUGACGCUGAGGCGCGAAAGCGUGGGGAGCAAACAGG
RNAcentral lists this ribosomal RNA (253 nucleotides) under uncultured bacterium. RNAcentral's name for it is "partial 16S ribosomal RNA". It matches the Rfam family "Bacterial small subunit ribosomal RNA", at positions 524 to 776 of the family's 1533-position model. The record is from RNAcentral.